This is a long non-coding RNA of Vidua chalybeata, 2417 nucleotides long. RefSeq lists it as uncharacterized. The record is from RefSeq and is a predicted model, not a curated record. The transcript has 5 exons. NCBI's taxonomy places the organism in Eukaryota, Metazoa, Chordata, Aves, Passeriformes, Viduidae.
GUGCUUUGGAGUUGAAACUAAUGAAGCUGACUUAGUGGCUGGAGUAGCUGGAAUUCCUUUGUGUUGUUGUUCAGGUGCUUUUCUGCUGAUCUGUGAUUCCUCUUCUGGCUCUGGGCAUCUAUUGCUGGCACUGGCACCAAACUGAUAGGAGUGGGAUGGACUGAAGUUCACUUCUCCUGGCAUCUUUAGAUUAAAGCCCUUCUCACCAGCUUGGCAAGCCUGUGGCAGAAGGUGGCCUUCCCCUGUUCUGACAGAUGGAUCCUGUCAGCCCUCAGUAGACCCAAUUUCUGAAAGCAAGUCCCAUGGUCAAAGCAGACAAACCCCUGGAUGGGACACAGCCCCAGAGGCAUUUGUUGAUUCACCAGAUUUGACUGGCCCUUUCAAACACCUUCCCUUUGACUGUGAGCAUUGAUGAAAGACUGCCUGUGGAAUCUUAAAAAUUUUUAGCUUAGGAAAAAUCUGAAUGUUGGUAUUUAUUAUGUUUGCUUUUUGGAUUUGCGAUACAAGGAUUGUGUAUCUUUUUUGAUUCACCUUUAUUGUUCUGGUUUUGCAACCAAAUUAUUCUUGCCAGCAUACUUUUAGAUUUGUGUGGAUCUGAAAGAUGCUGCCUCUUAGUGAGAUCUUAUUUUACAAGAUAUGCAGGUAAGCUUUGAAACUGGACAGUACAUCUUAACAUUUGCUUAGCAGCAUGAAGGCACUAGUUAAGGCUACUUUUUCCCUUUUAGUGUUCCACCUUGAAUAAUUGAAAGCAUAAACAUAACACGUUAGUUAUUACAAUGCAUUGUUAGUGAAGACUCAUGGCAGAAGGAAUACUUUUUAUACUUGUGCUUGACUCACUAGUGCCUGGUGCAAAAGCACAGUUGCAUCUCAGUUCUUGAUUCUCUAAAGCUCUUGAUAUCUGAAAAGAGCAGGAUUUGGGAAAGAAUCAUAUUCUACAGAGUCUUAGGGUGAUGUGGAUGGAAUAGGACCUCCAAAGGCCUUAGCGUACCUUUCAGUCAGAUUAUAGACAGCUUUAAGCAGUUACUCAAAAAAUUGUCCAUGUAAAUUAAAAAAAAUCAAAUGGAACAAAAUCUCUGUUCUUUGCUGUUCCGUUUGGCGAUCCUCACUGUGGAUUUGCUUCCUUAAUUUGUAACUAGGCUUUAAACAUACUACAGUCUAUGUCUCUUGCCUUUUUCCCUGUUAGCUGUGUAACUCUGAAGAGGGUUCUGGCUUCAUCUUCUUUAUACUGUGGCGUUAAGCUGUUAAAGAUAUGUUUAUAAUUUCUUUAGCAUAUGUUAUUAAUUUCUGUUUGUGAAGUAUCUGGUAACAUGCACAGUUUAAUUUGGAAUUUGGGCACAUGGUGGGGUUCUUUGGGGCUGUCUUGUGCAGGGCCAGCAGUUGGACUCGAUGAUCCUUGUGGGUCCCUUCCACUUCUGCAUAUUCUAUGAUUCUGUGACUGUAUGGUUAUGCCUCUGUAUAUGUCAUGUCCUUGAGUCAACUCUGAGUUACCUCCUAGUCCAUUUUUUUUGAUGGAUGCACGCUUGGUUUAAAGUAUAAUAAGGCCUUUUUAAAAACCCAGGAGCAGCUAAGUGCCUUUUCAAAUGAUCCUUGAUUUGUUAUAUAAUGGUAAAACUUCUGCUUCUUUUAAUUUCUGCCAAACUCUUAAAACAUCAGAACCAAUUUCUGAAAUUUUGACUCAUAAUUUGAUUCAGUUGCCUUGUCUGCUGGUCCUGUAAGUUGCACUGGAUUGGUAUACUGAUAAAUCAAGGUCCUUUUUAUUCAGAAGAUAUUCCAGAUAUUCCACAUACCUGUGGAAACUUGCCUAUUUGUGACAUUUUUCUGAUUACAGGCAGCAAACCUGUGUUUGUGUGCCAAGAAGACUAUUAGUCUUUGUGGAUGGUAAUGCCAGUGAGGUCUGUCGGAUCAAUUAUCUUGCCCUCCUCUGAUUCAUGUCAGUAGGCAAGUGCAUCCAUGGACAUCUAAAAUAAAAGCUUUUCAUACCAAAAGUAUUUUAAGAGGAUUAAUGCACAUCUUCAGCAAGAAGUGAAGCACGCUGUACCCUUUUCUGGUCCUAGGAUUGAAGUCCAUAUCCUUUGCACAAAGAUUUAAAAGAAUAGCCCAUCUUGGUCUGCAAAGCCACAUUGCUCAAUGUUUGGAAACUUUUUUUAGAGGAUGGGCUGAAGGAUAUUGCAUAAUGCUGCAGGCUUGCAGCUCUGUGGUUGGAUACAGGUUCCAUUUCUAUUCUGCUAUGGUGCUGCCUAACACAUACCUAGAGAAUAUAUUCAUGUUGAUGCAAAUCUGAGAUUGCCUGGUGACAAAAUACAAUUGGUCCGUGGAGAAAGAAGCCAUGGCAAAAGAAUCCCCAACUGCCUGAGCAGCUUCAGAAUGGUUUGGUUUAUUUUCUCUGGUCACAGAACCACAAAAUGGUUGGGGUUGGA